UCUUUCAAUUUAUAUUCGAGCAAAUCCAAAUUGAUAUCCGAUAUCAAUGAAGCGCGUUGAUAUAGGGUCAUUUUUCGUCUAUUCACGUGUUAAAGUAAGGACAAAUUUGGAAUUAGAAAUAAAUGCCCAACUUUAUACCAUUUUGGGACUACCGUUUUGGUCUAUGUUGGAUGUUAACGUCGUUAAUGUUAUUUUCGAACCGUUUUCGAACCCUAACAUUAUUGGAGUUUUCUCUCUCUUCCGCGACGAUGUGUCAGUAAUGGUUAUUGCUACACUUCUCUUGCUAAACUUCUCUCCAAUGAAACUGUAUUUAUUUUGAUCAAAAACGAGUUGUGCUUGGUAGAAUGAAGAUUGUUGGUGUCAAGGAGAGCAGCAAUGACCUCAAUUGCUUUGAUGACGACGGAGUGGAAGUUGAAUCCGAUCUGUAAAUUAAGGUAUUUUUCGUUUCAUGUGUUGGUGGAUUAUAAUUAAGGUAUUAUUCGAUUCUACAAUUGGUGGAUUAUAUGCAUUGCGGAGACAAUGUAUUUGUGCUUUUAUUUUUUUUCAAUUUGAAGCAGGGGAAAAAACUAUAUGUAUAAUUGUGUGUAAUCGAGUUGUUGUGUUCAUUAGGUUUGGUUCCUAGGUAUAUCUCUUAACACUAAUGGUCAGAAACCUGCAAGAUUUCCUCAAUCUGUAAUUAAUCAAGUGUAUUGUGUUAUCAGCAUAAAAUUGUCGAUGGAAGAAAUUGUUUAAAGCGGAAAUCAAUUGCUAGUUCAGUAGGUUGUAUUAAACAGGUUUCUGGGUGUUACAAACAGCCACCAUUGAAGACUCUAUCUCCCGAAAUUUUUAAGGAUGAGUCAUUGACUAUUGGUGGUCAAGUUAAAGCAAGAGGUCAGGUAUUAAAGAGACGAGAUGAAGCUAGAUGUCGGGUAAGAUGUGUUGUGAUAUAGGUUUUUGGAAAUAGUUGAUGGUUGUUUUUUAAUUAAAUUGGCUAUUUUUAAUAUGUUUGGUUGACCAUGUUGUGCAGCCUCCAAAUACUACUUGUCAUGUCGAGACCUUUGGGAGAAUAUGUGACAGGGUAGAGUCGUAUCCCCUAAUCAAAAAUAAUUAUCUAAUUCACUAAC
Molecule: long non-coding RNA, 1103 nt
Organism: Chenopodium quinoa (quinoa)
Lineage: Eukaryota; Viridiplantae; Streptophyta; Magnoliopsida; Caryophyllales; Amaranthaceae
Exons: 3
Source: RefSeq, a predicted model, not a curated record